UAUAUUAAUUGAUAUCUUAUUUCACUUGAACCAUUUUGAAAUUUUAAUUAGCUCUAUGUUCAUGUCAUUUAAUAAUGUUAUGAUUUAUUGCUAGACAGAAAAAGGUUUGUGUCAUCAGCAAACAUUACUGUUUUUAAAUUUGAGGCAUUCUAAACUUUAAAAAUUUGUUUUUAUCAUCACUCAAAUGUUUCUUGAUGAGUGACAAGACUUUUGGCUAUCUAUGCAUAAUUAAUCGAAGUCGUAGCCAGCUCGUAUGAAAGGAGUUCUUGACGCAAAAUAGUUAAAUUUAUUCAACAACGCCAAGAAACAGAGCUUGCUCAA
Long non-coding RNA from Hydra vulgaris (swiftwater hydra), 321 nucleotides. RefSeq lists it as uncharacterized. NCBI's taxonomy places the organism in Eukaryota, Metazoa, Cnidaria, Hydrozoa, Anthoathecata, Hydridae. The record is from RefSeq and is a predicted model, not a curated record.